This 57-nucleotide transfer RNA is filed under the name Ovis aries (sheep). It matches the Rfam family "tRNA", at positions 8 to 63 of the family's 71-position model. Rfam says of the family: Transfer RNA (tRNA) molecules are approximately 80 nucleotides in length. Their secondary structure includes four short double-helical elements and three loops (D, anti-codon, and T loops). The record is from Rfam by way of RNAcentral. RNAcentral also lists the same sequence under 1 other name. Lineage: Eukaryota; Metazoa; Chordata; Mammalia; Artiodactyla; Bovidae.
UAGCUCAGCUGGUAAAGAAUCUGCCUGCAAAGCAGGAGACCCUGGUUCGAUUCCUGG